Long non-coding RNA from Astatotilapia calliptera (eastern happy), 726 nucleotides. Lineage: Eukaryota; Metazoa; Chordata; Actinopteri; Cichliformes; Cichlidae. The record is from Ensembl.
CCUUGAGAUCAUCAAUGUGCAGUUUGAAGAGACUGAAAAAAACCGAGAACUUUUUGCUUCCUGCAGACAUGAUCCAUCCUGUCGGUCUGCUCUAGUCAGAUUAGUGUGACUUACGAGAAUUAGGAAGGGGUUGAGCAGAAGAGAGAAAAUGAAGAAAGGAGAAGAAGAAAGACAAAAAAGAGAAGAGAAGAAAGAAGAAUUAUUUGCUCGCAAAGGAAGUCGGCCGUCCAGAAAAAUGUCUGUGCUAGCAACGUCCAGCUAUCAGUGGGCAAAGGAUCCAUUUGUCUCUGCGAUGAGUGAUUCUUUCCUCCUGUGCUGGACCCUCCGACAGUAUUCAGAGCUCAUAAUUUUAACCACCAAAUGUUAGGUCUGUUGAACUGCCACCACACUAAGACACAUAAGAGGAUCCCCAUGAACAUGCAUUUGGCAGGGGUGGAACAGAUCUCCAGCAGAACCAAGCUCAAGAUGGGCAGGACGCAGGAAGAAAAUAGAAGAAAGAAAAGAAGAAUAUAGAGAGGCUACUUAAAAUGAAAAGAGAAAAUCACAAACUAUAGGAGAACAGAGACAGUUUAUAUUAAGUGAUAUAUUUAGUAGUGUACAUACCUCAGACUUAAAGAAAAACUCUAAAGUAUUUGUAUGCACUUGCUUUGGUUCUUGUUUUGUUACUUUCUGCUAUCCUGUAAGUUCUCUAAUAAUGCCACACAAAACGUACCUCGAAUACAGCCA